CGCUUGUUUAUCAAAAACAUGUCUUUUUGAAAAUAAUAUAAAGUCUAACCUGCCCACUGAUGUAAAAAUUGAAGGGCCGCGGUAUAUUGACUGUGCAAAGGUAGCAUAAUCAUUUGUCUUUUAAUUGGAGGCUGGAAUGAAUGGUUGAAUGAGGUAUUAACUGUCUCAUUUUUAAAAUAAUAAAAAUUUAGCUUUUUAGUCAGAAGGCUUAAAUAAAUUUAAAGGACGAGAAGACCCUAUAGAUCUUUAUAAUGUAAAUUUUGUAAUAUAAGGGUAAAAAAUAGUUAUUAGAUAAAACAUUAUUUUGUUGGGGCGACAAAAAAAUUUAUUGAACUUUUUUUAAGAAAAUAAAACAUAAAUUAAUGAAAAAUUGAUCCAAUAUUAUUGAUUAAAAAAUUAAGUUACCUUAGGGAUAACAGCGUAAUUUUUUUGUAGAGUUCUUAUCGAUAAGAAAGAUUGCGACCUCGAUGUUGAAUUAAAGAUUAUUUUAGAUGUAGAAGUUUAAAAAUUUAGGUCUGUUCGACCUUUAAAUCUUUACAUGAUCUGAGUUCAACCCGGA
Molecule: ribosomal RNA, 559 nt
Filed under: Platystoechotes lineata
Lineage: Eukaryota; Metazoa; Arthropoda; Insecta; Neuroptera; Ithonidae
Description: partial 16S ribosomal RNA
Rfam family: Bacterial large subunit ribosomal RNA
Source: RNAcentral